Microbotryum lychnidis-dioicae p1A1 Lamole is the source of this 71-nucleotide transfer RNA. It matches the Rfam family "tRNA". Rfam says of the family: Transfer RNA (tRNA) molecules are approximately 80 nucleotides in length. NCBI's taxonomy places the organism in Eukaryota, Fungi, Basidiomycota, Microbotryomycetes, Microbotryales, Microbotryaceae. The record is from Rfam.
UCCUCGAUGGUCUAUUGGUAUGAUUCGGCUCUCUCACAGCCGCGAACGGGGUUCGAUUCCCCGUCGGGGAA